AGAGUUUGAUCAUGGCUCAGAUUGAACGCUGGCGGCAUGCCUAACACAUGCAAGUCGAACGGCAGCAUGUUAAGUAGCAAUACUUAAUGAUGGCAAGUGGCGGACGGGUGAGUAAUACGUAGGGAUCUGCCCAGAAGAGGGGGGACAACCCGGGGAAACUCGGGCUAAUACCGCAUAUAAUUCUGAGGAAGAAAGCUUGGGCAACCAGGCGCUUUUGGAGGAACCUACGUCCGAUUAGCUAGUUGGUGAGGUAAAGGCUCACCAAGACCGAGAUCGGUAGCUGGUCUGAGAGGAUGAUCAGCCACACUGGGACUGAGACACGGCCCAGACUCCUACGGGAGGCAGCAGUGGGGAAUAUUGGACAAUGGGGGCAACCCUGAUCCAGCGAUGCCGCGUGUGUGAAGAAGGCCUUCGGGUUGUAAAGCACUUUAGGUUGGGAAGAAGUUUUGCGGGUAAAUAGCCUGCAAGAUUGACGGUACCGACAGAAUAAGCACCGGCUAACUCUGUGCCAGCAGCCGCGGUAAUACAGAGGGUGCGAGCGUUAAUCGGAGUUACUGGGCGUAAAGGGCGCGUAGGCGGUUAUAUAAGUGAGAUGUGAAAUCCCUGGGCUUAACCUAGGAACCGCAUUUCAAACUGUAUGGCUAGAGUGCAGUAGAGGGUAGUGGAAUUUCCGGUGUAGCGGUGAAAUGCGUAGAGAUCGGAAGGAACACCAGUGGCGAAGGCGACUACCUGGACUGACACUGACGCUGAGGCGCGAAAGCGUGGGGAGCAAACAGGAUUAGAUACCCUAGUAGUCC
Molecule: ribosomal RNA, 797 nt
Filed under: uncultured bacterium
Lineage: Bacteria
Description: bacterial SSU rRNA
Rfam family: Bacterial small subunit ribosomal RNA
Source: RNAcentral